Molecule: ribosomal RNA, 501 nt
Filed under: uncultured bacterium
Lineage: Bacteria
Description: partial 16S ribosomal RNA
Rfam family: Bacterial small subunit ribosomal RNA
Source: RNAcentral
AUUGAACGCUGGCGGCAGGCUUAACACAUGCAAGUCGAGCGGAGAUGAGGUGCUUGCACCUUAUCUUAGCGGCGGACGGGUGAGUAAUGCUUAGGAAUCUGCCUAUUAGUGGGGGACAACAUUCCGAAAGGAAUGCUAAUACCGCAUACGUCCUACGGGAGAAAGCAGGGGAUCUUCGGACCUUGCGCUAAUAGAUGAGCCUAAGUCAGAUUAGCUAGUUGGUGGGGUAAAGGCCUACCAAGGCGACGAUCUGUAGCGGGUCUGAGAGGAUGAUCCGCCACACUGGGACUGAGACACGGCCCAGACUCCUACGGGAGGCAGCAGUGGGGAAUAUUGGACAAUGGGGGGAACCCUGAUCCAGCCAUGCCGCGUGUGUGAAGAAGGCCUUAUGGUUGUAAAGCACUUUAAGCGAGGAGGAGGCUACUGAGACUAAUACUCUUGGAUAGUGGACGUUACUCGCAGAAUAAGCACCGGCUAACUCUGUGCCAGCAGCCGCAGUAA